GAUGAACGCUGGCGGCGUGCCUAAUACAUGCAAGUAGAACGCUGAAGGAGGAGCUUGCUCUUCUGGAUGAGUUGCGAACGGGUGAGUAACGCGUAGGUAACCUGCCUGGUAGCGGGGGAUAACUAUUGGAAACGAUAGCUAAUACCGCAUGACAACAGUUAUUGCAUGAUAACUGUUUAAAAGGGGCAACUGCUCCACUACCAGAUGGACCUGCGUUGUAUUAGCUAGUUGGUGAGGUAACGGCUCACCAAGGCGACGAUACAUAGCCGACCUGAGAGGGGGGUCAGCCAAACUGGGACUGGGACACGGCCCAGACUCCUACGGGAGGCAGCAGUAGGGAAUCUUCGGCAAUGGACGGAAGUCUGACCGAGCAACGCCGCGUGAGUGAAGAAGGUUUUCGGAUCGUAAAGCUCUGUUGUAAGAGAAGAACGAGUGUGAGAGUGGAAAGUUCACACUGUGACGGUAUCUUACCAGAAAGGGACGGCUAACUACGUG
This 495-nucleotide ribosomal RNA is filed under the name uncultured bacterium. RNAcentral's name for it is "partial 16S ribosomal RNA". It matches the Rfam family "Bacterial small subunit ribosomal RNA", at positions 28 to 507 of the family's 1533-position model. The record is from RNAcentral.